Molecule: ribosomal RNA, 440 nt
Filed under: uncultured bacterium
Lineage: Bacteria
Description: partial 16S ribosomal RNA
Rfam family: Bacterial small subunit ribosomal RNA
Source: RNAcentral
CCUACGGGAGGCAGCAGUAGGGGAUAUUGCUCAAUGGGGGAAACCCUGAAGCAGCAACGCCGCGUGGAGGAUGAAGGUUUUCGGAUUGUAAACUCCUGUUGUUAGUGAAGAUAAUGACGGUAACUAACGAAUAAGCACCGGCUAACUCCGUGCCAGCAGCCGCGGUAAUACGGAGGGUGCAAGCGUUACUCGGAAUCACUGGGCGUAAAGAGUGCGUAGGCGGGAUAGCAAGUCAGAUGUGAAAUCCUAUGGCUUAACCAUAGAACUGCAUUUGAAACUGUUAUUCUUGAGUAUGGGAGAGGUAGGUGGAAUUCUCGGUGUAGGGGUAAAAUGCGUAGAGAUCGAGAGGAAUACUCGUGGCGAAGGCGACCUGCUAGAACAUAACUGACGCUGAUGCGCGAAAGCGUGGGGAGCAAACAGGAUUAGAUACCCGGGUAGUC